AGGUGGUGCAUGGCCGUCGUCAGUUCGUACUGUGAAGCAUCCUGUUAAGUCAGGCACGAGCGAGACCCACGUCCACAGUUGCCAGCAUACCCUCCGGGUGGAUGGGUACACUGUGGAGACCGCCGCUGCUAAAGCGGAGGAAGGAGUGGGCAACGGUAGGCAGUAUGCCCCGAAUCUCCCGGGCUACACGCGGGCUACAAUGGUUGGUACAAUGGCAUCUACCCCGAAAGGGGAAGGAAAUCUCUUAAAGCCAAUCGUAGUUCGGAUUGAGGGCUGCAACUCGCCCUCAUGAAGCUGGAAUCCGUAGUAAUCGCGUUUCAACAGAACGCGGUGAAUACGUCCCUGCUCCUU
This 351-nucleotide ribosomal RNA is filed under the name uncultured Methanosaeta sp. RNAcentral's name for it is "bacterial SSU rRNA". It matches the Rfam family "Archaeal small subunit ribosomal RNA", at positions 985 to 1338 of the family's 1478-position model. Lineage: Archaea; Methanobacteriati; Methanobacteriota; Methanomicrobia; Methanotrichales; Methanotrichaceae. The record is from RNAcentral.